UAUGGACUCACUUAGCAAAGGGGGCUAAGGACAUAAUGCCUGAGGUGGCAACUGUGAAGCUUUAUUUGUUACAGCCAUUCCACUGUCAGGAAAAGGUGGUUGUUCAGACAAGUGGUGGAUCACCUUAAACCUGAAGAGAAUUAGCCAGGAAUCACCAAAGCGGUCAUGUCACCCAGCCCACAGUCCUGCCUGACCGUAACCUUGACUAGAUAUACAGGGAGGAGGUGUAAGGCUGGUAGAUGCUGAAAGGAUAAUCUUCCCCCACCCAGUGGGCCUGUCGCAUCUCUGAGGCUGGCUUGAGUCUCAAACAUGUACCUUGAAUUCCUUUUCUGAAGUGAUAAUGGCAUUAGCUGUGAGGACACUCAGCUCUUCUUGGUGCCAGUCCCUCUUUGGAACAUUAGCUCAGCACCGCUGACAUCACUUGGCAAUGAAUUUCUUACAGGUCUGCCUGGGCACCAGAUGAGCUUUGUACUGCCAGCUGGUUUCAGUCUUCAAGAUGAACAACCAAACUACCUUGCUGGUGGACCUGCUUGGGGUCUUAUCUCAUGACCUAGCGUGCUCUUUAUAUAGCACUGAGAUGUACGGUGAGGGGUUGAAUAAUAUUUGGAUGUGCUGUGAAGAUGUAAAAACUCUAGACUUGGUAAGAGCCACAGAUUAUUAUCCCAUUCCUGCUGGGUUCCUUCUCUACGUCCACACUAAUAAUUUAAAUAGAGCGGGACCUAGCUAACUGGCACUCGGUCACUCGGUUGGCGAUGUUUUUCAAUUGUAAGCAAGAUCCUGGGCUGGGGACAGCUAGCGUUGACCCGAAUAGUCCCCUGUCUGAGGACUGAGCAGGGGGUCUGGAGACAGCAGGCUCUGUGGUUUGGUUGUGGGCACCCUGUCUUGGAGGCUAAGGAAGAUGGUCUAAGGGAGAAAGAAUGGGCCUUGGCAGGGUUUUGUUUAUUAAUUGUAGAUAUAGUCAGCAUGAACCUCGUCAGCUGCUCAUUAAAUGAUAUGACAAGUCAUGGUGUGCUAUUCAGGAGGAGGCAGUAUUAGGCUAGACCUGCAACCGAGUCCCUGCUUAGUAAGAGAGACAAGGUUUGAGGGAGAGAUCAUAUCUUUUACUAGAAAAAUAUAUUUUAUUAUUAAAAUACCUCCCCCUUUAAACCAUGCCUCUUGUAUUACCUUAGACUAUGCCAGCUACCCAAAUGUGAUUAGGAAGUGUUUAGAAAUGUCUUGCAAUGGAUUUUGUCUCAGCGUUAUCAUUCUAGCGUUUACAAACUUUUGUGGCCCUUUUAAAUCCUUAUCCCAGGGCACACACCAAAGCAAGAGAUUUCAGCUUUGCAAGGUGCCAAAGGUUUCUUAUUAAGUCCAGAAAUAUCAUCCCUGUUUUCCAUGGGAGCUGAGGAGACCAGUGUGUUCCAGGAAGAGCCCAGAAUUUUUUUGCUCCAUGCCUUCCCUUUGUUAUGCUGCCAACAGAGCCUCAAGGACAGCAUAUGGCCUUGUUACACUUGCUUUUUCUUAAAAAAAAAAAAUAUAUUAAGGACUUCACAGUGCUGCAUGCAUUUUAAUGCUGUAAAAUGUGCUGUGUUUAUGUGCAUUACCCUCCAACAAGCAAGAUAUUUCUGCAGAAUUCAGCAGCUUCAGAGCUGGCUGCAUUUUCCUGCAAUAAUUUCUGAUUUUUCAGGCUAGGGGAAUGGUCGCUUCCCCCAGCACGAGACUGAUUUAAAAUUUAAUUCUUUGCCUUCUUCCCAGAAUACUUCCUCAGCUCCAGACUUACUAGAAACUCAGCCUUGAGCUUUCUCAAAACUUAUAGCCAAGAGCUGAAAGAAUUUGCAUCGCCUGGGCUCUGGAGAAGUGUUCAGCAUGGCAACUUCAGGUUGGGUUAAGGGUUCACAGGUUUGGUAAAGCUGCUGCACAGCUCUCUGGAUCACUUCUACUUCUCGCUCCAUCAGGUCCUGUAUUCAGUUCAUCAGAUGCUUUUCCAUUAUUACUUUUUUCUAUAAAUAUGAAACUUUUUUAUUGGAGAAACCAGAUGCAUUUGCCUCUUCUUAUAUAAUGACACAAGCAACCUUGACCAUAUCAGCCAGGUACAGGUAAUUUAAACAGCAGAGAUUACCGCUAGCCCUUUACUGGAGCAGUACAGUUCCUUUCUCGGGAAAAGAAGUUCCUAGUUUACAUGGAGCAAAAAGAUAGCUGAACUGAAUCUGCUAUUAAAAAUUAUACCAAAUGACAUCAUGUUUAAAAGUGGAGCAUUUCAAGCCAAUGCAGGAAAGAGAGGUUGACAUCAGUGGGGAAUAUAGAUGAACGUAGAUAACAUCAGUGCAGUUCUCUCUGCAUUAUUGAUGUACAACAUCUCUGCUGUGACACAACCCUUUCAGUCAGGACUUUCCCUUCAUGGAACUAUUUGGCUGAAAAUGCCAAUGGAGAUAUUCCCUGGAGCCUGCUGUUGCUUCAGCCUUUGUGAUAGGACAUUGGGAUGUUGGACAAAAAUUCUUGAGCUCUGCUGUUUCAUCUGUUAGUACUGCCAUUUCCAGCCUACUUGCUUUGAGAUACAUUCUAUGUACCAGGUAAUUGAAGAAACUAUUCUCUGCUCACUUCUCAUUUGGUCUAGUCUGAAAACCUGUUAAAGCAAUGACUAAGGUCUAGUUAUUUUCGUGUUGCAUGGCUACAUCUGUAUUUUAUUGAGCUAUUCGAGGAGUUCCAGAAGAUGCGUCCUUUAAACUUCCAAGCUUUAGCAGCCCUGUGUGCAAUCAGAUGUUCUUCCCCUAGAUGUGGCCAGGUUGUGUUAUCACGGUAGGAUCUUAGGUUGGUUGCUUUUGUAGGAACUAAGAACACUGUGAGAAUACCCUGACAUUUUAGUUCUUUCAGAUUUUGUCUUAGCAGCAAUAACAUAAGCUUUUAGUACAUGGCUUAUUUACUGUUCUUUAUUAACGUAUCUUUCAUCUACAUCACCAUGACAGUUAGUCACCCCUCUAUACCUUACAUGGGUACAUGUGAGGCAAGAUAGUGGUACUCUGUCAUUCUCCCAGGGCAAUUUUAUUUCUUCCCCUUGCUCUUCAGCAAGAACUGAAAAGUUCUCCCACAGAGCUCCAGCAGGAACCUGUCAAGUUGUAAGGUUUUGGCUGAGUCUUCACUAGAAAUAGGAACGCCUCCAUGUAAGUGAUUCGUGCUCCCUGAGCUUUCUGUUUGCUCCAUAACAUCCUGGUUGCUUUGGGACACAAAAAGAUGCAAGAACUAAUAACUUUGCAAUCUAAGGUAAGAUUCAUCUCACCUGACUUUAGACAUCUACAGUGUGGAUGCCCCACAUGAGUAGAUUAAUGAAUGGAGGCCACUCAUACAGCCUGUAGAAAGGAAUAUGAGCUUCUGGGAUGCAAUUCCUGUCAUCGUAAAGCAGCUGCCUGCGCUUUGUCAGAUAAAUCAUGUCCUAUAAACAUCUGUGUCUGUCUUGAUUUUAGAAAUCCAAGAUACUAACUCAAAGACAAGGAUCAAUCUCUGUUCAGAUAGAGGCACCCAGUGUCUCAAGAUCAAAAUCAGUUUUUAAAGUGUACUCUGCAGACCGCUUACCUGUCAAGGUCAUCUGUUUCUUACGUUCUUAUAGGUGUGGAAGGAAAAUAACUUCUCUCAUUCAACAUUAUGAGUCAGGUUGAUGACAUUACAAUUUCUAUUUUGCAAAACAUCUCAUUGGAACCUUAAUAGCCAGUUUCCGCCUUAUUUGUACAGUAGCACUUCCAAACGAUCUAGUUUUCAUCUUCUUUUCCAGCUGAGGGCUUCAGUAAAGAAGUGUCACCUCUGAAACUCUAGAGUUGUUUCGGUCUUGGGUUUCUAUCCAGACUUGGUCACAGAAAAUUUUUGUAGGAAUAAGGCAAGAUUCCUGCUGUCCUUCUUCCAUCCACAAUUCAUCAGAGAAAUUCAGACAUUAACAUCCAAGGGGAAAAAUCACUGUAGAAGGUAGAGGUGUUUGAAGUUGCCUAGAAUAAUGAAGCCUACCCCUCUCAACUAGCCUCAUAGUCUGGUGUCACAAAGCUUGACAUAGUCCAAUUUUAAAUAACUUAACUUAGCAGAUUUUGAUGACUUCUUUUCUAGCUUGGGAGCUUCUGUGUUAAGUAUCUUGAGUACUUCAUGGAGCCAAGGCUUCUUCGUUAAAGAAGUCUUCACGGACAUCCUGACUUUUCAGCCUUUUGGGUUAGGCUUGAGGUUCACUGUCUUGUUGCUUAGAGCUUGGGAGGAGCAGUAGUUUUCCUUUUACAAGGAUUGUUGUUGUUGAAUUUACCUUUGUCUUUUAAAUUUAUUUUUGCUUUAGAAUAAUGAUCAUAGCUAAGUGAAUGCCUCUUGCCAUGAGGCAGCACAGCAAGCAUAUGUCUCCAUACUUUGACUGCUUUUCCACUGCCUCACCAAGCUUUGAGAGGAAUGGCUCAUUUAAUGAAAACCCAGGGUAGAGGCACACUGUGAUGAGAACGUGUCUAUCCUCAAACCUUACCCCUGCAAAGGGAUAAGCAUUCUUCCUGACCAGGGAUUUUGUCAGGUGUUUAACUUUUCUGUGAGCCAGAUUGAUGCAAGCUCCCACAGUGUUCAGUAGACUGCACCAGUAAAGGCGGGCUCUUCUCAAAAAGAAGGUAGUUUUAAAAAUAAGUAACUAAGGUCCAGUGGCAGGUUUGCCAUAUGGAGAUGAUCCUCAGGCUGAGGUCAAGGUGUGCUGUGAGAGAGGAGUGGGUUUCUGCAGGAGGGACUUUGCAGUGAGAGGCUGAGGAGCAGUGGUGGAGCUGGCUGCAGGACCCAAGCCUGGUGGGGGGAGGUAGUGUCUGACAAAACAAUGCGUGGCGGCUGAUAGAACCAAGAGCAGCUCACUCUUCUGCUGGAGUCUUACUGUUUCUUAGUUGCCCAAGUGAAUAAAAUCAGAAUAAAAUCUAAAGUCAUUUCAGAAUAAUAUAUAAAGGGAGGCAGAGAUGGAAGAUCUUUGGAAAAAAAGUUUGUCUUUAUCUCCCUUGAGCUCAUAAUGUUCAUCCAAGCUCCUCUAGCCUCUGGCUGGGACUUCACUUAGCUGAGGAUUACAGGGGCGAUUUCCAAAAUAUAAGGUUUAUUUUAGUAUGAAAUAUUCCUGCUAAGUAAUUCUGCAGCCUUUCCCACCUGAGUACCAUAUAUUUACCUACUAGCCAUUUGGAGUGGGGAAGGAAGUUGAAAGAGGGAUUAAUCCCACUUUCACUCUCUAAAAGUUAAAGCGGCUGGAGAUGGGCAUCUUCAGAGAGGAAUUCAUCUCACACCCCUUUUUGGGGUCUAACUUUCAAUAACUUGAACUCAGAUGAAACUCAGCCUCUUUACCCAAGUAAAGGCAAACUUCAGGAGGUAGAAAUGGCAGACUCAAGCACUAAAUAAAUUCCUGACAUAGUCAUCAAGGGACGGGGGCAUUUCUGAUGUAAGCCUGUAUUUCAGGUGGUUAUGAAGUCAGCGGGAUACCUCUUCCUGGAGCAGUAAUUUAACCUGCAGCCUCAGAUCCUCCCAUACUACUUUCUGAUUACUGUGUUUUCUUGCUUAGAUGGAAGCCUAGCUGGUUAUAAAAUAAAAUCAACGUGUUUGACUGAAUUAGCAAGUUACCACGAUGCUUCUACUACUUUAAAGCUUGUUUUACUCAGAAAAGUCAAAGCUGGUUGCAGUAAGCCGUUGAGUCCUGUGUGUGCGCCUAGGGCAUGUGAUGGGCUAGAGAGGAUGUGUAUCAGCCACGUACCACAAGCGACAGACAAGGAGCAGCGUGAUGGUUCCUCUGAGUGCUGCAAUGUUUUGCUGUACUUUCAGAGUAGACAUGAGCAUAAAGCUGUGAGACCUUGGCUGCUCUCAUCCAGCCCCCCAAGACAGGGCAGUCAGUUGCACUAAGGUAAUUUUGGCUUAACUCCGUUGAACUGAGGGGCUGAAUCCAGUUUCUCCCCACGGAUUUCCUGAAUUGCCUCCUUUGUGGUGUGUUCUACGUCUCUGCUUGCUUAGCUGUGAAGUUGGCUUUUUAGGGUAGGAGCUGAGCAUCUUUCUUGAGUUAGUUCCACGCGGUGGGUUAUUGCCAGGGCUGCAGUCAUUUGCAUCUCAUCUUGAUAAUUAAAAAAAAAAAAAACCAAACAAAAAAACAACCAGAAA
Long non-coding RNA from Falco peregrinus (peregrine falcon), 6099 nucleotides. RefSeq lists it as uncharacterized. The transcript is spliced from 2 exons. The record is from RefSeq and is a predicted model, not a curated record. Lineage: Eukaryota; Metazoa; Chordata; Aves; Falconiformes; Falconidae.